CGGUAAUGUAGGAUUUGCAAUUGCAUUUGGAUUAUGUCACAAUUUAUGCGUCCACAUAUUGAAAACGCAAUUGAAAAUACAAUUUGCUAUUCUAUUUAAAAAUUGUCCGGAAUAUCGUUCCAUAUGUAACACUUCAAAGAGAAAGGAAAAAUUGAAAUCGCAUCAUAUGACCUCUUUAAACACGUGAGGAUAUUUGUCUCACUCCAACCGCACAAUAUUCCUAUUUGCUGCAACACACUUUAAGGACUGGUAGUCACCCAUAUAGUGUCUGUAAAACUAUAUUUUUUCAUAUUUUCUAUAAAGUGUAUGUAGUAUGCGACAGGGUUGUAAUUGCAUUACAAUGAGUCACUGAAGGCUGGAUGCUUGUUGUGUCUGAUAAAUAAAAUACAAUUAAACUGCUAAAUUCAUAGGUACACAUCACAAAUUCAAUCAUUCUAAAUGUGUUCUUUUUUUAGCAGAAGAAACAAAAUUAAAAACAACAACACUGUGGACUUUGGAUUUUUCACAGAUGAAAAGUUGUUUGACUUUUUCUGCCAAAACAAGACAAAGAUGUCUACAAUAGAAGAGCCGUUGAUGUUUCUCCGACAUCUCAAGGACAAUAGACUCAUUACAGAUGAGCUUUAUCAAAAGCUUGAGAACACUGGUGAUGAUAAUGGUGUGUAUUGUGCAUUGGAUUAUAUUGAAAAACGUCGAAAGAAGAAUGUUAGAAAGUACUGGGAAUGUGUGGCCCAGGAGCAUAUAUUACAGCGUUACUCUCAACUCUCUGACAUCACUGCAGCUCUGAUGAACUCUCUUAAGAGUCAGCCAAAGAAAAAAAUAAGAGAAAGAGUUGAGGAUCGAGGCACAGGAAAAGAAAGAGAGGUUAAAAAGAGAAGGACAGAGAGCAACUCUGUGAGUGACCAAGCUGGACCAUCAUCACAAAGCAUUAGCAGCCAGAGGACGACAGAUAAACACGUGGAGAGAGAUCUUCAGAGCUCUUCAGACUCCAGCACAGAAUUGUCGUUUUUCCGUCCGUCCUUGCAUAGUAAAGCAGAGGAUCUUUGGAACAUGGAUAAACACAAGAAAAUGCUUCCUGUCACAUGUGGGAAUAAAAAGGCCUUAUUGGACAGAAAAGCAUUGUAUAAAAGAAAGAGGGACUGCAUUAAAUGUGGCAGAGAAAUGAUCUCCCCUUAUAUGUUUGAGGAAAUGGGUGGAAAAGAAUCAUGCAAGUCCUGGAAAACAAGUAUAUUAUGCCAAGGCACAACCCUCAAGAGUCUCAUUGAGAUGAAUAUUUUGAAGAUACCCAAACUUAAUGGAAAAUUUACCCUUCGUAAAUUAUAUAAAUGAUAUGUGCAUCACAUUAUUUAGCAUUUUCAAUCAGUCAAUAUACUGAGCUUACGAAUCCACUAAUUUUUCCACUUUUAAUAAAGUCAGUCAAUGAAUGAAAAGUGUUAGUGUGAAAUAAAGCUUC
RNAcentral lists this long non-coding RNA (1450 nucleotides) under Sinocyclocheilus anshuiensis. Its description in RNAcentral is "lncRNA (ENSSANG00000038582.1)". The record is from RNAcentral. Lineage: Eukaryota; Metazoa; Chordata; Actinopteri; Cypriniformes; Cyprinidae.